This 301-nucleotide ribosomal RNA is filed under the name uncultured bacterium. Its description in RNAcentral is "partial 16S ribosomal RNA". It matches the Rfam family "Bacterial small subunit ribosomal RNA", at positions 509 to 807 of the family's 1533-position model. The record is from RNAcentral.
CAGUCGCCGCGGGAAUACGAAGGGUGCAAGCGUUAAUCGGAAUUACUGGGCGUAAAGCGCGCGUAGGUGGUUUGGUAAGAUGGAUGUGAAAUCCCCGGGCUCAACCUGGGAACUGCAUCCAUAACUGCCUGACUAGAGUACGGUAGAGGGUGGUGGAAUUUCCUGUGUAGCGGUGAAAUGCGUAGAUAUAGGAAGGAACACCAGUGGCGAAGGCGACCACCUGGACUGAUACUGACACUGAGGUGCGAAAGCGUGGGGAGCAAACAGGAUUAGAUACCCGCGUAGUCCCUGUCUCUUAUAC